UGAAAAUGUUAAAGUUCUUAUUUCAUGGUAUAACUUUGGUAUGCUUGGACCUAGAGUCUUCAAACUUGACAUGAAGGUUGGCCAGGAUUAACAGAUGACCACUGGUCAUUUCAAGGUCAUUCAUUUGAAGGUCAAGGUCACUGUGACCUUCAAUAUAAAAAAUGUUAAAGUUGUUAUAACUUUGGUAUGCUUGGACCUAGAGUCUUGAAACUUGACAGGAAGGUUGGCCAGAACUAGUAAGUAACCACUGGACAUUUCAAGGUCAUUCAUUUGAAGGUCAAGGUCACUGUGACCUUGAAUGUAAAAAUGUUAAAGUUGUUAUAACUUUGGUAUGCUUGGACCUAGAGUCUUGAAACUUGACAUGAAGGUUGGCCAGAACUAGUAAGUAACCACUGGACAUUUCAAGGUCAUUCAUUUGAAGGUCAAGGUCACUGUGACCUUGAAUGUAAAAAUGUUAAAGUUCUUAUUUCAUGGUAUAACUUUGGUAUGCUUGGAC
This is a long non-coding RNA of Dreissena polymorpha, 496 nucleotides long. RefSeq lists it as uncharacterized. The record is from RefSeq and is a predicted model, not a curated record. Lineage: Eukaryota; Metazoa; Mollusca; Bivalvia; Myida; Dreissenidae. The transcript is spliced from 2 exons.